This 815-nucleotide long non-coding RNA is filed under the name Bos indicus x Bos taurus (hybrid cattle). RNAcentral describes it as "lncRNA (ENSBIXG00000015234.1)". The record is from RNAcentral. Lineage: Eukaryota; Metazoa; Chordata; Mammalia; Artiodactyla; Bovidae.
GGCUCUGCCUCUCCCUCAAACCUUGUCUCCUGUGUGUUUGGCUUUUGAAAAACAAACCCUGGACUUUGUGUUUCCCAUCUCGCCCAGUGUCAGAGAAACGUGGGCAGAAGGAGAGAACGGAGAAUGUUAGUGAAGAAAAAAAAAAAACAAAAACCUGAGUGAACAGCACAGACUGUCACCCACCACAGUGGCUUGAGAAUCAUGCAUGGAGUGUCUUCUGGACCCUGAGGUGGCACACGUGGCUUCUCCUUUCUCACUGCCCUGGCUUAGGACUGCGGUCAGAUGCCCAGGUUCCAGCUGCCCUGUCUCACAUCAGAAAGCAUUGACAAUAACUUCACUCAUCUCUGCUGCUGCUGCUGCUAAGUCGCUUCAGUCGUGUCCGACUCUGUGCGACCCCAGAGACGGCAGCCCACCAGGCUCCCCCGUCCCUGGGAUUCUCCAGGCAAGAACACUGGAGUGGGUUGCCAUUUCCUUCUCCACUCAUCUCUAUCAACAUAAUUGAGAACUACCUGGUUUAGGGUCCUCUGCUGAUUACGCUUGAUGAGCUCCUGAUGGCUCCGUGCCUGCUGUUGCUAAUGCCUCGUCUACAGCGCUGCCACUGUCUUGACCUUGCCCAUGGAAAGCAGCAACUCCAGCAUUGCCCCCAUCAUGUCUAUUGCUGUGGGAACCUCCGUGGAUCUGGAACCCAGGCUGUAUGGUCAGGUCAGUCAAGAUGGCUGUUCUCUUGUUCUCUGUACAUCCCCUGAUGGACUGGUCCUUGCUCCACCUAUAUCCUACUCGCAUGACCGACCUUCCCUCUUAGUACGUACUUGCCC